UACGUAGGUGGCAAGCGUUGUCCGGAUUUACUGGGUGUAAAGGGAGCGCAGGCGGGAAGACAAGUCAGCUGUGAAACCUAUGGGCUCAACCCAUAGACUGCAGUUGAAACUGUUUUUCUUGAGUGAAGUAGAGGUAGGCGGAAUUCCGGGUGUAGCGGUGAAAUGCGUAGAUAUUCGGAGGAACACCAGUGGCGAAGGCGGCCUACUGGGCUUUAACUGACGCUGAGGCUCGAAAGUGUGGGGAGCAAACAGG
This 253-nucleotide ribosomal RNA is filed under the name uncultured bacterium. Its description in RNAcentral is "partial 16S ribosomal RNA". It matches the Rfam family "Bacterial small subunit ribosomal RNA", at positions 524 to 776 of the family's 1533-position model. The record is from RNAcentral.